UGGGCAACCUGCCCUCAGCUCUGGGAUAACUCCAAGAAAUUGGGGCUAAUACCGGAUAUGACUGCUGACCGCAUGGUCUGGUGGUGGAAAGAUUUAUCGGCUGGGGAUGGGCCCGCGGCCUAUCAGCUUGUUGGUGGGGUAGUGGCCUACCAAGGCGACGACGGGUAGCCGGCCUGAGAGGGUGACCGGCCACACUGGGACUGAGACACGGCCCAGACUCCUACGGGAG
This 229-nucleotide ribosomal RNA is filed under the name uncultured bacterium. RNAcentral's name for it is "partial 16S ribosomal RNA". It matches the Rfam family "Bacterial small subunit ribosomal RNA", at positions 118 to 347 of the family's 1533-position model. The record is from RNAcentral.